UACGUAGGGUGCGAGCGUUAAUCGGAAUUACUGGGCGUAAAGCGUGCGCAGGCGGUUUUGUAAGCCAGAUGUGAAAUCCCCGGGCUUAACCUGGGAAUGGCAUUUGGGACUGCAAGGCUCGAGUGCGGCAGAGGAGACUGGAAUUCCUGGUGUAGCAGUGAAAUGCGUAGAUAUCAGGAGGAACACCGAUGGCGAAGGCGGCGACCUGGGUAGAUACUGACGCUGAGGUGCGAAAGCGUGGGGAGCAAACAGG
Molecule: ribosomal RNA, 253 nt
Filed under: uncultured bacterium
Lineage: Bacteria
Description: partial 16S ribosomal RNA
Rfam family: Bacterial small subunit ribosomal RNA
Source: RNAcentral